CCCUUAGAUGUUCUGGGCGGCCCGCGCACUACAUUGGCACUAGCAAAGAGAUCCUAGAUUGAAUUCUUUGGGGUAUUCUUCUAAAUGGUGUCGUGACUGGGAUAAAUCCUUGUAAUUAUUGGUUUUGAACGAGGAAUUCCUUGUAAUCGCGGUUUAUCAGCUCGCGUUGAAUGCGUCCCUGCCCUUUGUACACACCACCCGUCGCUCCUACCGAUGGAUCGUCCGGUGAAGCUCACGGAGUGACUGUUCACGCAACGGUUUACGAAGUGAAAUGGACCUCACGAUUUAGAGGAAGGAGAAGUCGUAACA
RNAcentral lists this ribosomal RNA (309 nucleotides) under uncultured eukaryote. Its description in RNAcentral is "partial 18S ribosomal RNA". It matches the Rfam family "Eukaryotic small subunit ribosomal RNA", at positions 1470 to 1796 of the family's 1831-position model. The record is from RNAcentral.